GAGUUUGAUCGUGGCUCAGAUUGAACGCUGGCGGCAUGCCUUACACAUGCAAGUCGAACGGCAGCAUGAUCUAGCUUGCUAGAUUGAUGGCGAGUGGCGAACGGGUGAGUAAUACAUCGGAACGUGCCCUGUAGUGGGGGAUAACUAGUCGAAAGAUUAGCUAAUACCGCAUACGACCUGAGGGUGAAAGUGGGGGACCGCAAGGCCUCAUGCUAUAGGAGCGGCCGAUGUCUGAUUAGCUAGUUGUGGGUAAGGCCCGACCAAGGCGACGACCAGUAGCUGGUCUGAGAGGACGAUCAGCCACACU
This 307-nucleotide ribosomal RNA is filed under the name uncultured microorganism. RNAcentral describes it as "bacterial SSU rRNA". It matches the Rfam family "Bacterial small subunit ribosomal RNA", at positions 9 to 314 of the family's 1533-position model. The record is from RNAcentral.